ACGACAUCCAGGCCAUUGUGCUCCGCUCACAAUAGUUCAUUUGCUCCUUCUGGUCAGCCCACGAGGUAAGCAGUGAUGGCUAUGUCACAGAAAAGGGGGCCCAAAGCUGCAAGCACUGAGUUAACUGGCCCAGGCGCCUGGACGAGAAGAUGCAGAAGCUGAGACUCAGAGCAGACAGUGAGGUGACCUGUGCAAGUUCACAGAUGGAAUUGCU
Molecule: long non-coding RNA, 214 nt
Filed under: Mustela putorius furo (domestic ferret)
Lineage: Eukaryota; Metazoa; Chordata; Mammalia; Carnivora; Mustelidae
Description: lncRNA (ENSMPUG00000027077.1)
Source: RNAcentral